Magnolia sinica is the source of this 247-nucleotide long non-coding RNA. RefSeq lists it as uncharacterized. NCBI's taxonomy places the organism in Eukaryota, Viridiplantae, Streptophyta, Magnoliopsida, Magnoliales, Magnoliaceae. The record is from RefSeq and is a predicted model, not a curated record. The transcript is spliced from 3 exons.
GGUUACACUUGAGGAUAUGAUAUGGUUGAUGGAUUAUGUGAUGAGGUUGUACUUAAGGAUAUGAUAUGGUUGUGUGAUAGUGUAAGUAUAUCCACGUAAAAAUGUAAUACGGUUUAUGAAUUAUGUGAUGAGAUUGCACUUGAGGAUAUGAUAUAGUUGUACGAUAGUGUGAUGUGAUUCCACUUGAGAAUAUGAUAUAGUUGAUGGACUGUGUGAUGAGGUUACACUUGAGGAUAUGAUAUAGUUG